UAAUAAGCGUAGGAACAGGCGGCCGGCAUUGUCGGCGCAGCUGGGCAGCGCAAGCAGCAGGUUAAACCUGCGGGACCUAU
Molecule: non-coding RNA, 80 nt
Filed under: Sporomusa malonica
Lineage: Bacteria; Bacillati; Bacillota; Negativicutes; Selenomonadales; Sporomusaceae
Description: NiCo sequence
Rfam family: NiCo (Nickel/Cobalt) riboswitch aptamer
Source: Rfam by way of RNAcentral